Molecule: ribosomal RNA, 433 nt
Filed under: uncultured bacterium
Lineage: Bacteria
Description: partial 16S ribosomal RNA
Rfam family: Bacterial small subunit ribosomal RNA
Source: RNAcentral
AGCGAACGCUGGCGGCAGGCCUAACACAUGCAAGUCGAACGAACCUUUCGGGGUUAGUGGCGGACGGGUGAGUAACACGUGGGAACGUGCCUUUAGGUUCGGAAUAACUCAGGGAAACUUGUGCUAAUACCGAAUGUGCCCUUCGGGGGAAAGAUUAAUCGCCUUUAGAGCGGCCCGCGUCUGAUUAGCUAGUUGGUUGAGGUAAUGGCUCACCAAGGCGACGAUCAGUAGCUGGUCUGAGAGGAUGAUCAGCCACAUUGGGACUGAGACACGGCCCAAACUCCUACGGGAGGCAGCAGUGGGGAAUCUUGCGCAAUGGGCGAAAGCCUGACGCAGCCAUGCCGCGUGAAUGAUGAAGGUCUUAGGAUUGUAAAAUUCUUUCACCGGGGACGAUAAUGACGGUACCCGGAGAAGAAACCCCGGCUAACUUCGU